GUGGAUUAGAUACCCGGGUAGUCCACGCCCUAAACGAUGUCAACUAGUUGUUGGUAGAGUAAAAUCUAUGAGUAACGCAGCUAACGCGUGAAGUUGACCGCCUGGGGAGUACGAUCGCAAGAUUAAAACUCAAAUGAAUUGACGGGGGCCCGCACAAGCGGUGGAUUAUGUGGAUUAAUUCGAUGCAACGCGAAAAACCUUACCUGGCCUUGACAUGUACGGAACUUUCCAGAGAUGGAUUGGUGCUCGAAAGAGAGCCGUAACACAGGUGCUGCACGGCCGUCGACAACU
RNAcentral lists this ribosomal RNA (291 nucleotides) under uncultured bacterium. Its description in RNAcentral is "partial 16S ribosomal RNA". It matches the Rfam family "Bacterial small subunit ribosomal RNA", at positions 773 to 1060 of the family's 1533-position model. The record is from RNAcentral.